AUUGAACGCUGGCGGUAGGCCUAACACAUGCAAGUCGAACGGCAGCACAGUAAGAGCUUGCUCUUACGGGUGGCGAGUGGCGGACGGGUGAGGAAUACAUCGGAAUCUACUUUUUCGUGGGGGAUAACGUAGGGAAACUUACGCUAAUACCUCAUACUUCCUACGGGUGAAAGCAGGGGAUCUUCGGACCUUGCUCGAUUGAAUGAGCCGAUGUCGGAUUAGCUAGUUGGAGGGGUAAAGGCCCACCAAGGCGACGAUCCGUAGCUGGUCUGAGAGGAUGAUCAGCCACACUGGAACUGAGACACGGUCCAGACUCCUACGGGAGGCAGCAGUGGGGAAUAUUGGACAAUGGGCGCAAGCCUGAUCCAGCAAUACCGCGUGGGUGAAGAAGGCCUUCGGGUUGUAAAGCCCUUUUGUUGGGAAAGAAAAGCAGCAGGUUAAUACCCCGCUGUGCUGACGGUACCCAAAGAAUAAGCACCGGCUAACUUCGUG
Molecule: ribosomal RNA, 492 nt
Filed under: uncultured bacterium
Lineage: Bacteria
Description: partial 16S ribosomal RNA
Rfam family: Bacterial small subunit ribosomal RNA
Source: RNAcentral